RNAcentral lists this ribosomal RNA (784 nucleotides) under Globigerinoides ruber albus. Its description in RNAcentral is "SSU rRNA". It matches the Rfam family "Eukaryotic small subunit ribosomal RNA", at positions 1207 to 1622 of the family's 1831-position model. The record is from RNAcentral. Lineage: Eukaryota; Foraminifera; Rotaliida; Globigerinidae.
GGGAAAUCUUACCGGGUCCGGACAUAUCGAGGAUUGACAGACAGUUAUACAUGCCCUACAAGUAGGAGUCAGGUUUUAAACCUAAUGGCUCUUUCAUGAUUAUAUGAUAGGUGGUGCAUGGCCGUUCUUAGUUCGUGGAGUGAUCUGUCUGCUUAAUUGCGUUUCAAAAUUUAACUUGAGGACCGGGUUUUGGUUUGGCUAGUGGUUCUACGAUGACUGUGAACUGUCAUGUCUUCGGAUGUGCGACUAUUGGUCUAGGAUCACAUGACUUGCCCCUGGGACUCUUUUGAACGCAACGGACGUGAUUGCAACCCCUUGUUGAGAUUAGAGAUAGUCUCGAUAUUCACUGGACAAACUGGCUGCUUUAUGCAGUCUUGUUGAAUGGUGGAUAAACUCGGGGGACUGCUGACUAUAACCAUUUCUCAAAACAGAGGAAGGUUGCGGCAAUAACAGGUCUGUGAUGCCCUCAGAUGUCCCGGGCUGCACACGUGCUACAAUGAGUGGCGCAAUGUGCUAAUGUUUAAGGGAUAAGAGUGUGGUCAGUAGAACGUCGGGAUUUCCCCUGACGUCUCCCCCGCACGAUUAUCAGCCUUCCCUUAACAGGGCGGGCAACCUUUUCAAAAUACUGGUUUGAUGUUAAAGUAUUGAGUCGUUUUUUUUGGAUGGUGGUUUGUUAACCAAUACCAUCCGGCAACUGCUCGCGAGUUUGUGGUUCUGGCGACUCAUGGUGGGGACCGACGUUUGUAAUUUUUUGUCGCGUGUUAACUAGGAAUGCCUUGUACUG